RNAcentral lists this unclassified non-coding RNA (340 nucleotides) under uncultured fungus. Its description in RNAcentral is "partial contains 5.8S ribosomal RNA, internal transcribed spacer 2, and large subunit ribosomal RNA". The record is from RNAcentral. Lineage: Eukaryota; Fungi.
AACGCAUAUUGCGCUCGAACCUUCGGGUUAGAGCAUGUCUGCCUCAGCGUCGGUUUAUACCCUCACCCCUCCCAUUUUGUUGGGCUGGACGACUCAUUGCUAGUUGGCCAAAGGGGUGGAGCUGGCUUCCCCAAUUUGGCAGCAGAUUGGGUUGGCUGAAGCGUAGAGGCUUAAACAAGGACCCGAUAUGGGCUUCAACUGGAUAGGUAGGGUGGGCGUUCGCGCCAAACUACACGAAGUUGUGGCUUGUGGACUUUGUUAGGGGCCAAGCAGGAAACAUGCUUAACGGCAUGUCUAAACUUUCGACCUGAGCUCAGGCAAGGCUACCCGCUGAACUUAA